UUUCAACCAGCUUCAGCUUUCAACUGAUUGCAACAAGUUUAUGAACUGUUCCAAUGUUACCUCCUCUGGACCACCAUUUAACGCAAGAAGGGAUCAUCAUGGAAAUGAAGGUAGCAGCUCAUAUAAACAUUUUUCCAAAGAUGUCUGCCAUGUGCUAAGACAUCACCUGCAACAAAGCUUGCGAGAAGAUGGUCUGCCCAGAUGGACUCCAGUUGCAAUGUGAUUCGAUCUGGCUGUAGGGGCCUGUCUUUGGCCAGCAGACUUCGUGCUUCCUUAUAUCUUGGGAUGGAGAAACAACAGAAGGU
This is a long non-coding RNA of Mobula hypostoma (lesser devil ray), 305 nucleotides long. RefSeq lists it as uncharacterized. The record is from RefSeq and is a predicted model, not a curated record. The transcript is spliced from 3 exons. NCBI's taxonomy places the organism in Eukaryota, Metazoa, Chordata, Chondrichthyes, Myliobatiformes, Myliobatidae.